GAUGAACGCUAGCUACAGGCUUAACACAUGCAAGUCGAGGGGCAUCAGGAAGAAAGCUUGCUUUCUUUGCUGGCGACCGGCGCACGGGUGAGUAACACGUAUCCAACCUGCCCUUUACUCGGGGAUAGCCUUUCGAAAGAAAGAUUAAUACCCGAUAGCAUAAUGAUUCCGCAUGGUUUCAUUAUUAAAGGAUUCCGGUAAAGGAUGGGGAUGCGUUCCAUUAGGUUGUUGGUGAGGUAACGGCCCACCAAGCCUUCGAUGGAUAGGGGUUCUGAGAGGAAGGUCCCCCACAUUGGAACUGAGACACGGUCCAAACUCCUACGGGAGGCAGCAGUGAGGAAUAUUGGUCAAUGGGCGCUAGCCUGAACCAGCCAAGUAGCGUGAAGGAUGAAGGCUCUAUGGGUCGUAAACUUCUUUUAUAUAAGAAUAAAGUGCAGUAUGUAUACUGUUUUGUAUGUAUUAUAUGAAUAAGGAUCGGCUAACUCCGUGCCAGCAGCCGCGGUAAUACGGAGGAUCCGAGCGUUAUCCGGAUUUAUUGGGUUUAAAGGGAGCGUAGGUGGACUGGUAAGUCAGUUGUGAAAGUUUGCGGCUCAACCGUAAAAUUGCAGUUGAUACUGUCAGUCUUGAGUACAGUAGAGGUGGGCGGAAUUCGUGGUGUAGCGGUGAAAUGCUUAGAUAUCACGAAGAACUCCGAUUGCGAAGGCAGCUCACUGGACUGCAACUGACACUGAUGCUCGAAAGUGUGGGUAUCAAACAGGAUUAGAUACCCUGGUAGUCCACACAGUAAACGAUGAAUACUCGCUGUUUGCGAUAUACAGUAAGCGGCCAAGCGAAAGCAUUAAGUAUUCCACCUGGGGAGUACGCCGGCAACGGUGAAACUCAAAGGAAUUGACGGGGGCCCGCACAAGCGGAGGAACAUGUGGUUUAAUUCGAUGAUACGCGAGGAACCUUACCCGGGCUUAAAUUGCAGUGGAAUGAUGUGGAAACAUGUCAGUGAGCAAUCACCGCUGUGAAGGUGCUGCAUGGUUGUCGUCAGCUCGUGCCGUGAGGUGUCGGCUUAAGUGCCAUAACGAGCGCAACCCUUAUCUUUAGUUACUAACAGGUUAUGCUGAGGACUCUAGAGAGACUGCCGUCGUAAGAUGUGAGGAAGGUGGGGAUGACGUCAAAUCAGCACGGCCCUUACGUCCGGGGCUACACACGUGUUACAAUGGGGGGUACAGAAGGCAGCUAGCGGGUGACCGUAUGCUAAUCCCAAAAUCCUCUCUCAGUUCGGAUCGAAGUCUGCAACCCGACUUCGUGAAGCUGGAUUCGCUAGUAAUCGCGCAUCAGCCACGGCGCGGUGAAUACGUUCCCGGGCCUUGUACACACCGCCCGUCAAGCCAUGGGAGCCGGGGGUACCUGAAGUACGUAACCGCAAGGAUCGUCCUAGGGUAAAACUGGUAAA
RNAcentral lists this ribosomal RNA (1444 nucleotides) under uncultured organism. Its description in RNAcentral is "SSU rRNA". It matches the Rfam family "Bacterial small subunit ribosomal RNA". The record is from RNAcentral.